Non-coding RNA from Podarcis lilfordi (Lilford's wall lizard), 69 nucleotides. The record is from the annotation of a GenBank genome assembly. Lineage: Eukaryota; Metazoa; Chordata; Lepidosauria; Squamata; Lacertidae.
GCUGUAGCUCAGUGGUGGAGCAUCUGCUUUGCACACAGAAGGUCCCAGGUUCAAAUCCCGGCAUCUCCA